CUAGCACCCGGGCCAGAGGCCAUGUGGAAGGCACGCUCGGGUUUCUCUUCAACUCGUACAAAUCUUUCGCCUUUUACUAAAGAUUUCCGUGGAGGGGAACACCCCCGAGUUUACGGUAUUUUUGGAAGCUCUGCUUCGGCGGAGCAUCACCUGUCUGUCUAAAGUCAAGUUUGUUCCCUGUUCUCCUCUCUGUUCCUCUGGUUAGGUCCUCUCUGUUCCUCUGGCUUGUUCCGCCGUGCGUGGUGGUGGUUCCCCAAGGCAUGGCGAUGAGCUCCAGCAAGGACUAUUUGAAAUGUGGGGAGGCUGUUCAAAUAUAUUCAAGUGCACUCCAGCUGACUGUAUCCUUCAUAUCCCUGCAUGGCCCUGGCAAAGGCUUUGAGGUGCAUUGGCAGCCUGCCUGAAAUUUUUUUUUUUUUUUUUAAACUGAUUUUGUGUGUGUUUGCUUGUUAGUUCAGUGUCCAGAAGCCACGCCUACGCAGUUAAAGUGCCUGCGACAGACAGACAGACAGACACACCGUGAGGGCCGCGCCCGGUGCCGUCCUAGCACCCGGGCCAGAGGCCAUGUGGAAGGCACGCUCGGGUUUCUCUUCAACUCGUACAAAUCUUUCGCCUUUUACUAAAGAUUUCCGUGGAGGGGAACACCCCCGAGUUUACGGUAUUUUUGGAAGCUCUGCUUCGGCGGAGCAUCACCUGUCUGUCUAAAGUCAAGUUUGUUCCCUGUUCUCCUCUCUGUUCCUCUGGUUAGGUCCUCUCUGUUCCUCUGGCUUGUUCCGCCGUGCGUGGUGGUGGUUCCCCAAGGCAUGGCGAUGAGCUCCAGCAAGGACUAUUUGAAAUGUGGGGAGGCUGUUCAAAUAUAU
Long non-coding RNA from Clupea harengus (Atlantic herring), 857 nucleotides. The record is from Ensembl. Lineage: Eukaryota; Metazoa; Chordata; Actinopteri; Clupeiformes; Clupeidae.